RNAcentral lists this ribosomal RNA (253 nucleotides) under uncultured bacterium. Its description in RNAcentral is "partial 16S ribosomal RNA". It matches the Rfam family "Bacterial small subunit ribosomal RNA", at positions 524 to 776 of the family's 1533-position model. The record is from RNAcentral.
UACGAAGGGGGCUAGCGUUGUUCGGAGUUACUGGGCGUAAAGGGCGCGUAGGCGGCGCACCAAGUCAGGCGUGAAAGCCCUGGGCUCAACCCGGGAAUUGCGCUUGAGACUGGUGUGCUUGAGUACGGGAGAGGAUAGUGGAAUUCCCAGUGUAGAGGUGAAAUUCGUAGAUAUUGGGAAGAACACCCGUGGCGAAGGCGGCUCUCUGGGACGGUACUGACGCUGAGACGCGAAAGCGUGGGGAGCGAACAGG